Molecule: ribosomal RNA, 2266 nt
Filed under: Vibrio parahaemolyticus
Lineage: Bacteria; Pseudomonadati; Pseudomonadota; Gammaproteobacteria; Vibrionales; Vibrionaceae
Description: bacterial LSU rRNA
Rfam family: Bacterial large subunit ribosomal RNA
Source: RNAcentral
AGUCUCUGGAUAUAGACCCGAAACCAGGUGAUCUAGCCAUGGGCAGGUUGAAGGUUGAGUAACAUCAACUGGAGGACCGAACCGACUAAUGUUGAAAAAUUAGCGGAUGACUUGUGGCUAGGGGUGAAAGGCCAAUCAAACCUGGAGAUAGCUGGUUCUCCCCGAAAGCUAUUUAGGUAGCGCCUCGGACGAAUACUACUGGGGGUAGAGCACUGUUAAGGCUAGGGGGUCAUCCCGACUUACCAACCCUUUGCAAACUCCGAAUACCAGUAAGUACUAUCCGGGAGACACACGGCGGGUGCUAACGUCCGUCGUGGAGAGGGAAACAACCCAGACCGCCAGCUAAGGUCCCAAAUUACUACUAAGUGGGAAACGAUGUGGGAAGGCUCAGACAGCCAGGAUGUUGGCUUAGAAGCAGCCAUCAUUUAAAGAAAGCGUAAUAGCUCACUGGUCGAGUCGGCCUGCGCGGAAGAUGUAACGGGGCUAAGUAGUAAACCGAAGCUGCGGCAAUAUACUUUUGUAUAUUGGGUAGGGGAGCGUUCUGUAAGCGGUUGAAGGUGUGUGGUAACGCAUGCUGGACGUAUCAGAAGUGCGAAUGCUGACAUGAGUAACGAUAAAGGGGGUGAAAAACCUCCUCGCCGGAAGACCAAGGGUUCCUGUCCAACGUUAAUCGGGGCAGGGUAAGUCGACCCCUAAGGCGAGGCCGAAAGGCGUAGUCGAUGGGAAACGGGUUAAUAUUCCCGUACUUCUUACAAUUGCGAUGGGGGGACGGAGAAGGCUAGGUGGGCCUGGCGACGGUUGUCCAGGUUCAAGUGCGUAGGCUGAGAGAUUAGGUAAAUCCGGUUUCUCUUAAGGCUGAGACACGACGUCGAGCACCUACGGGUGUGAAGUCAUUGAUGCCAUGCUUCCAGGAAAAGCCUCUAAGCUUCAGAUUGUAAGGAAUCGUACCCCAAACCGACACAGGUGGUCGGGUAGAGAAUACCAAGGCGCUUGAGAGAACUCGGGUGAAGGAACUAGGCAAAAUGGUACCGUAACUUCGGGAGAAGGUACGCUCUUGAUGGUGAAGUCCCUCGCGGAUGGAGCUGACGAGAGUCGCAGAUACCAGGUGGCUGCAACUGUUUAUUAAAAACACAGCACUGUGCAAAAUCGUAAGAUGACGUAUACGGUGUGACGCCUGCCCGGUGCCGGAAGGUUAAUUGAUGGGGUUAGACUUCGGUCGAAGCUCUUGAUCGAAGCCCCGGUAAACGGCGGCCGUAACUAUAACGGUCCUAAGGUAGCGAAAUUCCUUGUCGGGUAAGUUCCGACCUGCACGAAUGGCGUAAUGAUGGCCACGCUGUCUCCACCCGAGACUCAGUGAAAUUGAAAUCGCUGUGAAGAUGCAGUGUACCCGCGGCUAGACGGAAAGACCCCGUGAACCUUUACUACAGCUUGGCACUGAACAUUGACCCUACAUGUGUAGGAUAGGUGGGAGGCUUUGAAGCACGUACGCCAGUAUGUGUGGAGCCGUCCUUGAAAUACCACCCUUGUAGUGUUGAUGUUCUAACGUCGACCCCUAAUCGGGGUUGCGGACAGUGCCUGGUGGGUAGUUUGACUGGGGCGGUCUCCUCCCAAAGAGUAACGGAGGAGCACGAAGGUGGGCUAAUCACGGUUGGACAUCGUGAGGUUAGUGCAAUGGCAUAAGCCCGCUUGACUGCGAGAAUGACAAUUCGAGCAGGUGCGAAAGCAGGUCAUAGUGAUCCGGUGGUUCUGAAUGGAAGGGCCAUCGCUCAACGGAUAAAAGGUACUCCGGGGAUAACAGGCUGAUACCGCCCAAGAGUUCAUAUCGACGGCGGUGUUUGGCACCUCGAUGUCGGCUCAUCACAUCCUGGGGCUGAAGUCGGUCCCAAGGGUAUGGCUGUUCGCCAUUUAAAGUGGUACGCGAGCUGGGUUUAGAACGUCGUGAGACAGUUCGGUCCCUAUCUGCCGUGGGCGUUGGAAGAUUGAAGGGGGCUGCUCCUAGUACGAGAGGACCGGAGUGGACGAACCUCUGGUGUUCGGGUUGUGUCGCCAGACGCAUUGCCCGGUAGCUAAGUUCGGAAUCGAUAACCGCUGAAAGCAUCUAAGCGGGAAGCGAGCCCUGAGAUGAGUCUUCCCUGAUACUUUAAGUAUCCUAAAGGGUUGUCGGAGACUACGACGUUGAUAGGUCAGGUGUGUAAGUGCUGUGAGGCAUUGAGCUAACUGAUACUAAUUGCCCGUGAGGCUUAACCAUACAACACCCAAGGGGUUU